AGUGCGACAAGUGUGAAUACCGGGGAGAGAAACUGGCGCUGCGGGUUCACCGUUCAAAAACACAUCGAGACAGUGCUCGUAAUAAGCAGAUAUGCAAGGAGGUUUCGGACGGGGAGCCUUGCACGGAAACCUUCUGGUCGGUGAUCGGUCUCAGAGAGCAUCUCGCCAAACGGCAUGGAAUUGAUGCGGCGACCCACUCGCUGACAGAGGAGUUUAGUUCCGUGGAUGAAUUUCAGGCUUGGAAGGCCCAGUACGAGGCAGCCAAUGGGGUGGUGUACAACAUCGCCUCCAGCCGACCCCGGAGCGGUACAACGGCCCGCUACUUGUGCUCCCGGUCCGGCGUGUACGCACCGGCAGGAACCGGGAAGAGACGGCU
Pollicipes pollicipes is the source of this 376-nucleotide long non-coding RNA. RefSeq lists it as uncharacterized. Lineage: Eukaryota; Metazoa; Arthropoda; Thecostraca; Pollicipedomorpha; Pollicipedidae. The transcript is spliced from 3 exons. The record is from RefSeq and is a predicted model, not a curated record.